This is a long non-coding RNA of Amphiprion ocellaris (clown anemonefish), 1856 nucleotides long. RefSeq lists it as uncharacterized. The transcript has 2 exons. NCBI's taxonomy places the organism in Eukaryota, Metazoa, Chordata, Actinopteri, Pomacentridae. The record is from RefSeq and is a predicted model, not a curated record.
GUGGACUGUAUAGAAACUGUGCCGGGCAGUGGAUUGUGGAAGAUGUGUCAUAAGCCGGUUCCCCCUGUGGUCUUGUCCUGUCAAAGAAGGACAAGACCACAUGGCCCUCCUUUUCAGCAAAUUAACUGAAGUUGUUCUCGGAAUGUGUCUUUCAGUUUAUCAGCUCAGAAUACAACAAACAAAGAUGGUUUAUUUCACCACGUGUGUUUUAAACCUGGUUUAAUCCCAGUUCUCAAUCGGCUGUUUCAGUGUCUGUUGCUUUAGCCUCUUGACGCCCCUUUCAGGAAGAAGACUCUCUCUGAGUCACUGAUUGACAGCACGGAACAAAACUGUUGCUGACAAAGACAGGAAUGAGUGUGUGACCAGUAUUUUCUAUCACUUCUGACUUUUUCUCUAAAGAAUAUUGCCGGAUUUACUGCACAGCUGUAGCUUUUGAUUUAUGUGUUUUCAGUGGGUUUAUCUGACACUGUUGCAGUUAUGAAAACAGUACUGUAGCAGAGCAACAGCUAGGGAAAUGGCUCUGACAGGACCGCUGGUUCACAUGUGGUCUUUCAGUCACUGUUUCAUGCCCACCUUGCUGCUCACUCUGAAUGGCUCAAUUCACAAGCAGUAGGCAGUGAGGAGCAGGAUUAUGCAAAGUUUACAGUAUAUGACCACUGGUUGCUGAGUUGGAAGGUCACAACUGUAGCGUACUGAGGAGCAGAACAUUCCAGAGCGACACACAAAGAUCCAGAGACCCUCUCCCAAGUAAGAAACCAUUUCAGAAGACCGCUAACUUCAAGCUCACAUCCUAAUGGAACAUCUGCUGAUUGGAUGUUUACUACUAAAGGACCACUCGCGGCUCUCAUGUCUCCUACCUCCACCAGGAUCUGAUAAGGGUCAUAAAGUGUCAACUGUGAGGAAAACCACACUGCUGCAGAAGAGGGUUUGCAGCCUUAAUGGUGACCUUCUGAUCUCCCUACCUGAGCUGUUACAAGUUAACUUCCAUGUAGCUUAAAGUCUAGAAUCUAUCUGUGAUCAUCAUAAAUAUUGAACAAUUAGAUUUGUACAUUUAAGAAAUGAACUAAGAGUAAGUUCAAAAAGCAUCUGGCCUCUGACCUCUCCUGGACAAUGAAGCUCAACGCCACCCCUUGGGAGGAACACAUCCAUGAUUGGUUAGAUGCUGAUUUGAAUUUGGCUCCAAAACUUUCUAUAUAGAGAAAGUCACUGGAAUGCAAGGCACUUAGAAGAAAAAUGCGACUGACUUGGGCUUGAGAACAAAAGAACAAAAGAAAGAGAGGAUCGGGCUAAAGAAGAAAUGGACAUUUGAAAUGGGCUCUUUCAUGAAAACUUAAACUAAAACUUGGUUUGAAAGUAUUGGGUUCAUUUAUUAUGGCUUAAAGAAACGUGUGGCUUAACUUGAAACUAGGGCUUUGUCUUUCUAUAUUUUACUUAAAGUUUGACUUCUUAAACUAACUUUAAUACUACAGCAGCAUGAAUAUUUUCUUGAUAACUAUGAGCUUUGACUCUUAAUGUUUUUACUUGGGCACACUUUUGUAACGCAAACCUGCCAAAGUGCCUCCAUGUCUCUGCGUUCCUGAACCAACUCAUCCAGCAGAUCAUCUCAGCUCCACAUCCUGCAGCGGCCUCCCUCUCACUACUACAAAGGCUACGCAAGUAUCACUUUCCUGCUGCAAAACGGGUGAAUUUGCAAAUUACAGUUGUUUAUCCAAUUUCAUAGUAAUUCUAAAUUCGUCACUUUUCUGCCAACUGCUUCCAGUUACGAUCACAGUUCGCCAGUUUAUCUGCAUUUAUUCAUUCAUGUAUUCACUGUCUGUUUGUAGUAUUAUUUAAUAAAUGUUUCUAUCCAAUUAUCA